RNAcentral lists this ribosomal RNA (470 nucleotides) under uncultured bacterium. Its description in RNAcentral is "bacterial SSU rRNA". It matches the Rfam family "Bacterial small subunit ribosomal RNA", at positions 29 to 524 of the family's 1533-position model. The record is from RNAcentral.
AACUAACGCUGGCGGCGCGCCUAAUACAUGCAAGUCGAACGAUGUAGCAAUACAUAGUGGCGCACGGGAGAGUAACACGUGGAUAAUCUCCCCUCGAGAGAGGAAUAACUAGUCGAAAGAUUGGCUAAUACUUCAUAAGACCACAGAAACUAAUGUUUCAGGGGUAAAAGUCGUAAGACGCUUGAGGAUGAGUCUGCGUCCCAUUAGCUAGUUGGUGAGGUAAAAGCCUACCAAGGCGACGAUCUUUAGCUGGUCUGAGAGGAUGAUCAGCCACACUGGGACUGAGACACGGCCCAGACUCCUACGGGAGGCAGCAGUGGGGAAUAUUGGACAAUGGGCGAAAGCCUGAUCCAGCAAUGCCGCGUGAGUGAUGAAGGCCCUAGGGUUGGUAAAGCUCUUUUACCAGGGAUGAUAAUGACAGUACCUGGAGAAUAAGCUCCGGCUAACUCCGUGCCAGCAGCCGCGGUAAU